This 271-nucleotide ribosomal RNA is filed under the name uncultured bacterium. Its description in RNAcentral is "partial 16S ribosomal RNA". It matches the Rfam family "Bacterial small subunit ribosomal RNA", at positions 524 to 789 of the family's 1533-position model. The record is from RNAcentral.
UACGGAGGAUGCAAGCGUUAUCCGGAAUUAUUGGGCGUAAAGCGUCCGCAGGUGGUUUAUCAAGUCUGCUGUCAAAGCGCGAGGCUUAACUUCGUAAAGGCAGUGGAAACUGAUAGACUGGAGUGCGGUAGGGGCAGAGGGAAUUCCCAGUGUAGCGGUGAAAUGCGUAGAUAUUGGGAAGAACGCCGGUGGCGAAAGCGCUCUGCUGGACCUGCACUGCACGUGAGGGAACCGGGAAGCAUAGGGGAGUCAACACGGGGAUUAGACCGUA